UCCCUGGUGGCCCAGGCGGUAAAGCAUCUGCCUGCAAUGCAGGAGACCUGGGUUUGAUCCUUGGUUUGGGAA
Non-coding RNA from Bos taurus (domestic cattle), 72 nucleotides. Lineage: Eukaryota; Metazoa; Chordata; Mammalia; Artiodactyla; Bovidae. The record is from Rfam.